UUAUCUUCUAAGAUGCGAGUUCCACUUACUUAACCUCCCCCUCCAACCAGCCCUCAGUACCACCACUAAUGCAGUGACACCAAGCUGAGAACUGACAUCCACCAAGUGAAUGGGGAAGAAGGGGCAGGCUUGGAGUUGAAGUGGCCCAGUAGAGUUCAAAGAGAUCAUUGGCACUGAAGUUACGAGUGAAGGGUCUUAGUUGUCACAUUUAAGAAGCCAUUUAGGAAAACUUUUAAGCAGCUAAGAACAAAGGCUUUUGGACUUGAAAAACCCCAAUCCAGACACCUUCGUCCUUCCUGGCUGCAGGAUCCUGUGCACGUUGAGCUCUUUGAAUCUGCUCCUGUGUCAGCAGAUUUUAGGAUUCUCUCUUAUAAAGUGGUAAAGGUUCUACCUCCCAAAAUGGAUGCUGUUGGUCAUAUCAUUUCGCAGUGCACACUGCCGCAUCUGUUCAUUCAUCUGAGCAGCGUUUCUAACCUAUGAAUGCAUCAACAGGAACAGAAAAUAAUUCUAGAACACUGAUAUUAAUAACAACAACAAAAAAACCCUGAAAUAAUAAUUGAGAAGUCUGAAAAUAAACCUGCUCUUUUCUCAAGGAACUGCUGGCGGCAAGCUGUAUAAACUACGUAUUUAUCAUUUUAUAUUUGCCUACAGUGACACCUGCUGGAAAACUCCGUUGAAGCCUUAAAAUGAAAAUAAAUUUAAAAUAAAAUAAAAACCAAGCUUUGAAAACAA
Molecule: long non-coding RNA, 732 nt
Filed under: Equus asinus (donkey)
Lineage: Eukaryota; Metazoa; Chordata; Mammalia; Perissodactyla; Equidae
Description: lncRNA (ENSEASG00005034644.1)
Source: RNAcentral